GUGGGGGCGGGGCGGCAGCGGCAGCCAUGGCGGCGUCCGUGGUUCCGGAGACGGACAGCAUUCGCAGGGCCGUGCUGCUGCUCAACGCCGUGGACCCGGGCCGGUUCCCGCGCCUGCUGUCCCGCCUGCUGCAGAGGCUACACCUGAAGGCUGAAACCAGCUUCAGUGAAGAGGAAGAAGAAAAACUUCAGAUAGCUUUCUCACUGGAAAAGCAAGAUCUUCAUCUCGUUCUUGAAGCCAUAUCGUUCAUUUUGGAACAGGCUGUUUAUCACAAUUUGAAGCCUGCUUCACUGCAACAACAGCUGCAGAGCAUUCACCUGGACCAAGACAAAGCUGAAGCAUUUGCCAAUGCAUGGGCAGCUGGAGGUCAAGAGACGAUUGAAAAGUUCAGACAGAGGGUUUUGACCCCUCAGAAGCUUGAAACAAUUGGUUGGCAGCUUAAUCUUCAAAUGUCUGCAUCCACGCAAGCAAAGCUGAAAUCUCCUCGAGCUGUGCUAGAGCUGGGUGUGAGCAAUGAAGAUUCAAAGGAAGUCUGCAGGAACCGAUCACCCAUGGAGAGGGUAGCAUCAGCCAUGGAGAUAGUGAGAACCCAUCCGGGCAUGAUCCUGCACAUCCUGCUGUGGGUGAUGCUGCUGGAGAGGGCGGCUGGACUGCGUGGUCUCUGGAGAGAAAACAUUUGAUUAUCAAAGAGAGAAACGUCCUUGAGAAUGUGGGCUGCUGUAGUAUGGAGCUGUGCUAUUCUUGUCGACGCCAUCAAAAGUGCUGAGUGUCUUUUUCUACACAGCAAGGCAGCGUUAAGAAAAGAUCAGAGAGGGCCUUUAUACUGCACCUUGGCAGAGGUGAAUGCACGCCUCAUUUUUUCCACCUUGACUGCAGAAGAGGCUGGACCAGUGUCCUCAUAAGCAUGCCCUGUGCCCUGCCCAGCGUGAGGCAGAGCUUGCAGAGGGUGAGCUGGGAGCUUGCCCCCGUCAGAUCCCUUGCCUCAAGCCCAGCAUACAGCCUCCUCCCUUCCUUCUAUGGAGGGCGUGCAAUGGGGCACGCAGCUGCCGGCUCCCUGUGCUCCCUUGCACCUUGCUUCACUAGCGAGUUCGGUUCCCUCAUGCAGCCCUUGUCAUUUGUAGUUGUCAUAAUUUCCUGUCAUAGCUGCUCUUUUCCUCCCCCCUUGCGAUACUGCAGGGUUCAGCUCUAUGGCUGAUGUGCUUUUACUGCAGCCUGCUAGAUUUUUCUUCAUCUUAAUAUAUUAUUUAUGAUGCUAUUAUUCCUUGCAGCGGACUGCCAGCCACAUUCUGACUACAGUUGCUGCCCUUCCAAAAGCAUCACGGCCAGCAAAAGAAAACUCUGAUCUAAUUGAAUUAACGGUGGUGCUGUUAGCCUUAAUAGAGUUUGUCAUGAAACGCUAAGCAGAUGUGACAAUGAUCUCGGUUAGUCAUAUUUUUGUCCCUGCUCCCAGACACGGUAACUGUUAGCCAGAUCAGUGGGGAGGACAAUUCUCCUUUGCUGAUCUGUAACUGUGUUUACCUGGACAUGCGGCAACUGCUUUGGACCGGUGGCUGAAAUAAGCCAAGGAAUUGAGCACCAGAAAGUUUUACGUUCUGACAAUAAACUUGGCUAAUUAAAACAAGACGCAGAUGGUACUGCCACCUAGCAAUUUUCACCUCAGUUACUCUGACUCCAAUUAUAGCCUUUUCCCACCAGCUUACACUGUUUAAAUUACAAAGUCAGGGGACAGACGACUAUUUACCUGUUUCUAUUCAUGCAAGGAAGUCUAACACAUCGUUUUCUUGCACAACGCACCUGAUGAUGGUUUCAGUGCUUAUUCUGAAAACAAAAGCAUCUCCAUUCCUUAAAAAAUAGGGGAAGGAAAAGUAAUAAAAAGACCACUUGGAGACUCGUUAGCAGGCACACACAUUAGCAGGAAGUGUGUGCAUAUUACUCGCACAAUGUGUUCCUCUAACACUUGUUGGUUAGAGCAGGUGCCAUACUUCUGGGAAAUUAACUUUAAUUGGAUAAAUAGUAGAAAACUGGCCUUUGCUAAGCUGGUCCAACACGCUUGUCUUAGCUUAUUAUUGUCUGUAGAUAUUCUGAAAAGUCUGAUGCUGCUCUCUUGGGUGGCUUUUGCUUCUUCCUGGAGCAGACUGCAUUCACAGGGUGGGUCUGGAUAAACAGCUGCCAAGAAUGGGUGACCUUUGGUUGGUCCUGCUGUAAUGCAGGUGGGGUGGACAUGACCCGUGCUUGGGGUCCUCUGCACUGCUCUAAAAUGAGAUUUACAAGCAAGCUUUGUAGAGCAGGAUUCCACAUCCAGCCCUGCAAGAGAGCAUGGAGCAAUUCUGCCCUGGCUGACUUUAUGACUAGAGGAAUGAACUGGAGUCACAUCCCAGACUGGGCCUAUUGCCCAAACCACUGUAUUUUCCCCAGGGUUGGAGCAUUACUGCUGUGGCACCACUUUAUGUGUAAAAUCAUUCAUUCUGCUGGUAAUAAAUGGCACUGAACUGCCUGUGCUUUUUGUGGGUUAGAAGCAGGGCUCUGCCUGUUUCUUUUCACCUGAGGAUGUUUCAGUUGCAGAAUAUUCCCCGCUAUUGAAGCUACGAUGAGGCAGGACUUGCAAAGUUGUCUUUGAAAUUGCACGCUAGUGCUGUGUAAAAAAGUGUCUCUAUUGGAGGGAGAGUGGGGAGGAGGAACAGGAUUUCUUUACAUAGAUCUAUGGCUUUUGAGUAAUUCAGCUAGGCUACAUCUUGUGUAAAAAGAUUUGCUCAAAUUAGAGCUGAUUGUAAAGGAACUUCUGUGCACCCUCAAUUAGAUGCUAAAUGAGAUCAAGAUGAGUACCAUUACUGUGAUGGAUAUGGUGACAUUAGCCUGUUUGAGUUGCUCGAAGCACACCUGCUCCUCCUGGCUGUUUUCCUCUUUGGCCAAGCCAAACAGUGAAUUUCUGUGGGGUAGUACAAGAGGCUCCUUCAGGGGAUGGAUCUCAGCAUCCACUUAAUGCAGGGGCUUUUCUCGCCUGCAAAAAGCCACAGCACUGGAUCAUCUGGGGUGCUGAGGACACUUCUCUCCUGGAAGAGCUGUUUGUGCUCAGCAGAGGGAACCAUCCUUGGCAGCAUCCUGCUGCUUUGCAGGCCAUGGUCCCAUAGGGCAGUGAGAUCUGACGCCCUGCCUCCUUCCUUCAUCCCUGUCCUGCACUCCUUCCUUCAUGUCUGGGCUUUGACAUGACUUCCCUCUCACCACAUGCAGGGGGAUGAGCCUUGCAAAGGAGCCAGCCAUGCCACUGCUGGAGGCCGAUUUGGUCACUCCCAUUAAGCCUGGCAUGAUCUAAGGGAACAACUGGGACCGUCUGGCAAUGAAGCAGACAGCUGGCAAGCACCUUCAGCGGGACCAGGGAGUAUUGAGCUCAGAAAAACAAACAAACAAACAAACAAAAAAGGAACUGCGAGCAAUGAAGCAUGGAUAUACAGUUACUUAUAGAGAAAUGUUAAUAGUACUGAGGUAUUGUCACUGAAUAGUUCCCCUAGAUGCUGCUUGGUUGAUGUGUUUCAGAACAAGCUGCACAAAGUAAUAUCAAAGGGGCCAGCUGUGGGCUGAAGAGCACCUGGAGGGCUUUCCCUUUCCUGUUUGGAGCACACAGGCCUCACGCAUGCCUGUGGAGCACUGUGAGCCAUACGCAGUGCCCUUGGUCUCCAGAUUAGGGGCCAUGCCUGGGGGAACGUCAUCCCCACGUGCCUCUGUGUGCCAGCAUGCCUGGACACCUCAGCUGGAAGGAAGGCUACACCUGAGGUGAAAUUAGAGAUGUCUGCGGGUGAAGCACUGAAAAAUAUUGGUGAGAUGGAACUGUCCAGGGCCUCCUGAUUUCCACUGAUGAGAGAGUGUGCCAAGGCUUUGUGACAUCUCUUUUUAAAUUCAUGGUCUCUGCUCCACGAGUUAUGCUCGUACUUCACCACUUUCUGCUGAGCCUGCGUCACACCAUCUGCGGUGUGAGAUGGGUGAAGGCGUUCAUGAGCAACGAGUGCCCUGGCCAUACAGCAAAGCCUGUGUGUGACCUCGGUGUACAGGGGGUAAAUUUUUCAGUCUAAUCCCUUGUUUCUAGGUGAUGACAGAAAGCUUGUGUCACAAAACAAAAUCAACAAGGCCUGCCACUGACAUAGCUGAGUGUUCACUGCUGUGUGUAAGCAGUCCACACAUGCACAGCAUCAGCUCAGAGAAUACAGGUAUGUUUUAAUCGCUGCCAGGAAUAGAGAGAUAGUAUGCACUUCUGUUAUUUAUCUGUUUACUAACAUCUUGCAGACUUAAAGUCUCAGGCAACAGGCUCUAAAUUAGGCCUAUAAAGUACAAUAGAUCUGUGCCUGCUAGAAGAAAGCACAGGCUCUCCCAUUAUUAAUGUGCAGAACCUGGAGAUGAACUCACAUCUAUAGGAUGAUCUAUUUUGGUGAGCCACGUGUGCUUAAAUCCCUGCCUCAGUGUGUUAAACCACCAAGUCUGCCAUAAAUAUUUGAUGAUGAACAAGCUAAUAAAAUGUGGGAUAUCAACAGAGGGAGAGCAAAUGUGUGAUUCAGUUUGUAAUUACCACCACUUUACUCUAAAGUCAACUUAUUUUCUGUUCAGAGACUGAAAACAACACUUUUCUUUCUUCAACCUUUGAACAAAAACCAUGGAUCCUCACAGAAACAAAGGAACUAGGGCACAAGAAAUAAGGUAGAACAGUCUGGUUUUAUUACCAUAUGUAAUCAAGAGCUUUUGUUUCCCCCUUUCUUCAUCUUCUUUCCUUCCUUUUUUUUUUUUUUUUUUUUUCCUUUUCAUUUUCUCUUUUUUUUUUUCCUUUUUCUUUUUUACAACGUACAUUAAGGUGUGAAUCUGAUGUUACGGAGGGAUGUGGAAAUGAA
Molecule: RNA transcript, 4871 nt
Organism: Gallus gallus (chicken)
Lineage: Eukaryota; Metazoa; Chordata; Aves; Galliformes; Phasianidae
Gene: COMMD10
Gene name: COMM domain containing 10
Exons: 8
Source: RefSeq, marked validated